This 497-nucleotide ribosomal RNA is filed under the name uncultured bacterium. RNAcentral's name for it is "partial 16S ribosomal RNA". It matches the Rfam family "Bacterial small subunit ribosomal RNA", at positions 28 to 507 of the family's 1533-position model. The record is from RNAcentral.
GAUGAACGCUGGCGGCGUGCCUAAUACAUGCAAGUCGAGCGAACAGACGAGGAGCUUGCUCCUCUGACGUUAGCGGCGGACGGGUGAGUAACACGUGGAUAACCUACCUAUAAUACUGGGAUAACUUCGGGAAACCGGCGCUAAUACCGGAUAAUAUAUUGAACCGCAUGGUUCAAUAGUGAAAGACGGUUUUGCUGUCACUUAUAGAUUGAUCCGCGCCGCAUUAGCUAGUUGGUAAGGUAACGGCUUACCAAGGCAACGAUGCGUAGCCGACCUGAGAGGGGGAACGGCCACACUGGAACUGAGACACGGUCCAGACUCCUACGGGAGGCAGCAGUAGGGAAUCUUCCGCAAUGGGCGAAAGCCUGAAGGAGCAACGCAGCGUGAGUGAUGAAGGUCUUCGGAUCGUAAAACUCUGUUAUUAGGGAAGAACAAAUGUGUAAGUAACUAUGCACGUCGUGACGGUACCUAAUCAGAAAGCCACGGCUAACUACGUG